Molecule: unclassified non-coding RNA, 250 nt
Filed under: Hevea brasiliensis (rubber tree)
Lineage: Eukaryota; Viridiplantae; Streptophyta; Magnoliopsida; Malpighiales; Euphorbiaceae
Source: RNAcentral
GCAAUGGAAGUUCAGGAGAGUUGAGAUACUGCAUCACUCUUCCGGCUGAAGGCCUUCCGUUGUCUGCUGGGUUUGUGCACAAUAAACCGACAAUCAUCAAGCAUUCCAUUUCUUUUGGGUCAAAUUCCUUCUUUAAUUUUUUGUCAGCUGCAUCUAGUAUUUUUUCCGCUUUAUACAGUGUCCAGACUUCCUUAAUCAACUUUUGAGGAUCAUUAUUUCUGUAAUUCAUCUUUCCACAAGCAAUUUCCAA